RNAcentral lists this transfer RNA (73 nucleotides) under Ailuropoda melanoleuca (giant panda). It matches the Rfam family "tRNA". From Rfam's summary of the family: Transfer RNA (tRNA) molecules are approximately 80 nucleotides in length. Lineage: Eukaryota; Metazoa; Chordata; Mammalia; Carnivora; Ursidae. The record is from Rfam by way of RNAcentral.
GCCUGGAAGGCUCAGUCGGUGGAGCGUGUGACUCUUGAUCUCAGGGUCGUGAGUUCAAGCCCCAUGUUGGGCA